RNAcentral lists this long non-coding RNA (1719 nucleotides) under Crocodylus porosus (Australian saltwater crocodile). RNAcentral's name for it is "lncRNA (ENSCPRG00005015414.1)". The record is from RNAcentral. Lineage: Eukaryota; Metazoa; Chordata; Crocodylia; Crocodylidae.
UUUGGCAAAGGCAAUUAUUUUGUUAGCACACCAAUGCCACUGCCCAAGGACGACGUUGCUUGCUGAAAACCUACCUCCCGGGAAGGGAGGCAGACCCCGAGGCAGGACACGCUGCUGGGUUUGCAGGUCUCUCCAGAUGCCAGAGGCAGGUUUCUGGAAGGGCUCGGGCCUGGUGUCAGCCGCAGCCUUCGACUGACUUUGGUUUUCGGUCCAAAGGCUCUCCAAACGCGUGCUAUGCUUUAAGCUUUUCCUAACCCAGCUUUUUUUUUUUUUCCAAAAUCACUAGUUCCUGGGUGGAAGGAGCGAGGAUUUACCACCGAGGAAGUAAUUACCAGAGGCGACCUGAUCCGGGGAUGCCCGAGCGCUGCAGCUCCGAGGGGAGAGCAGCUGCCGCAUUUACACAACUCCAGGGAAAGGACCACGAGCUCCUUCAUCCAGAGUCUCCCCGCCCAGACCACCCCCCUCGCCCGCACUACCGACCUACCCGCACAGCCUGAGCUCCAGGCACUUCAAACGGCUUCUUCCGGCCCCUUCGACCCCGUCACAUCCGGCAUUCAAACCACCCGCCAAUGAGUGCGGGCGCAGCGGGAAAACCGGCGGCGCUAACGAGUGUACGCAUGCGCAAAGGCAAAGGUUCUCCCAUCCUGGCGCAGCUGGGAGACUCGCUGCGCAUGCUUCAAGAAACUAGCCCUGUUAGCGCGGCAGCUAGUGGUGAAUAACAGGCGCGACCCUCUCCUGCUCGGGGGGCGUGGUCACGGCUCCUCUUGGCCAAUGGCAGCUAAGCCGAGCCGUGAUUGGCCGUUGCGCGAGCCGCGCCGAAUGUGCGAGGUGGCGCGGGCAGGUGGGUGAGUUCCGCGCUGCUCCCUCGCCGCGCCCGCUCCUCUCCCCCGGGCUGGGCCGCGGCUGCGGGACAGGGCGGUGCCUGUGUCUGUGGCUCCAGGGUGGGACUCUUCAGUCACCUGCAGCCCCAGGGACGCGCCGUGCUGCAGAAUUUCAUGGAAGUGCGACUGGGAUGGACCCUGCCAUCUCCUCACAUGUCGAUUCUGACAGGUGGCUUGCAAAACAACUGGCAAGAAUCUUGAUCUCCGGUGACUUGUCUGCCUGUAGCAACAGCACCCAAUCCUUGACAUCCAUUUUGGGGCACAGUUUUGUUAUUCCUACAAAUGAAACAGGAUUGGACCAUGGCAGGAGGACUUUUUUCUGUUGGCCCUGCUCAUAGUAUCACAGCUGCUGCUGCUGCAAUGGACAGAAGAAGCAUUUACAGCGUUUUAUCUCCCUUUAGCACCUUACCAUAGAAUUCUAAUGAUCAUGACCCGUUGGAAUUAAUAGAAUGCAGUCUUGCAAAGGUCUGUAACCUUCUGUCUUAUAGAAUCUCAAUUUUCUACACUUUCCUAUAAUAGUUUGCAUGUUUAAAUGCAUUUUUUUCAUGUACAUAUUUUAUAAAAAAACCCACAAGAUGAAAUUGUUACACAUUAUCAUUUUAAAUAUUAUUUAGUGGCUAGUUUUACUUCUGAGAAGAAAUUUACAACAAUUCUAUUUUUAUCUUAGGAUCUAAACGCUCCAUUGUAUUCAGCACUGUACAAGGACAUUAAAAACAAUUUCUGGCUCGUGCUAUGGUAUAUGCAAAUCAUUUUGUAAAGCUGCAUUAAAUGCAGACUCCAUGCCCAAAGCAAAAUGUUGAAGGACUUGUAAGAUAACAAGGCUGUCAUGAACUUACCC